RNAcentral lists this ribosomal RNA (446 nucleotides) under uncultured bacterium. Its description in RNAcentral is "partial 16S ribosomal RNA". It matches the Rfam family "Bacterial small subunit ribosomal RNA", at positions 338 to 795 of the family's 1533-position model. The record is from RNAcentral.
CCUACGGGAGGCAGCAGUCGAGAAUCAUUCACAAUGGGGGAAACCCUGAUGGUGCGACGCCGCGUGGGGGAAUGAAGGUCUUCGUAUUGUAAACCCUUGCAGUGUGGGAGCAAAUAAUAAAGAUAGUACCAUAAGAGGCAGAGACGGCUAACUAUGUGCCAGCAGCCGCGGUAAUAAAGAGGUCUCAAGCGUUGUUCGGAAUCACUGGGCGUAAAGCGUGCGUAGGCGGUUUGGUAAGUCGGGUGUGAAAGGCGCGGGCUCAACCCGCGGACGGCACAGGAUACUGCGAGGCUAGAGUGAAGGAGGGGGAAGCGGAAUUCUCGGUGUAGCAGUGAAAUGCGUAGAUAUCGAGAGGAACACUCGUGGCGAAGGCGGGUUCCUGGACAUUAACUGACGCUGAGGCACGAAGGCGAGGGGAGCGAAAGGGAUUAGAUACCCUUGUAGUC